GACGCAUCACUGGUGUUCGGGUUGUCAUGCCAAUGGCACUGCCCGGUAGCUAAAUGCGGAAGAGAUAAGUGCUGAAAGCAUCUAAGCACGAAACUUGCCCCGAGAUGAGUUCUCCCUGACUCCUUGAGAGUCCUGAAGGAACGUUGAAGACGACGACGUUGAUAGGCCGGGUGUGUAAGCGCAGCGAUGCGUUGAGCUAACCGGUACUAAUGAACCGUGAGGCUUAACCUU
This 231-nucleotide ribosomal RNA is filed under the name Escherichia coli. Its description in RNAcentral is "partial 23S ribosomal RNA". It matches the Rfam family "Bacterial large subunit ribosomal RNA", at positions 2700 to 2925 of the family's 2925-position model. RNAcentral also lists the same sequence under 2 other names. Lineage: Bacteria; Pseudomonadati; Pseudomonadota; Gammaproteobacteria; Enterobacterales; Enterobacteriaceae. The record is from RNAcentral.